This is a ribosomal RNA of Leptospirillum ferrodiazotrophum, 117 nucleotides long. NCBI's taxonomy places the organism in Bacteria, Pseudomonadati, Nitrospirota, Nitrospiria, Nitrospirales, Nitrospiraceae. The record is from Rfam.
UCCGGUGGCUUUGCCGGAGGGGAAACACCCGUUCCCAUCCCGAACACGGCCGUUAAGACCUCCAGGGCCCAUGAUACUGCACCCGCGAGGGUGUGGGAAAGUCGGUCGCUGCCGGAC